Molecule: ribosomal RNA, 253 nt
Filed under: uncultured bacterium
Lineage: Bacteria
Description: partial 16S ribosomal RNA
Rfam family: Bacterial small subunit ribosomal RNA
Source: RNAcentral
UACAGAGGGGGCAAGCGUUGUUCGGAAUUACUGGGCGUAAAGCGUGCGUAGACGGUUAUUUAAGUCGGGUGUGAAAGCCCCGGGCUCAACCUGGGAAUUGCAUUCGAGACUGAAUAGCUAGGGUACGGUAGAGGGAAGUGGAAUUUCCGGUGUAGCGGUGAAAUGCGUAGAUAUCGGAAGGAACAUCAGUGGCGAAAGCGACUUCCUGGACCAGUACCGACGUUCAGGCACGAAAGCGUGGGGAGCAAACAGG